GAUGAACGCUGGCGGCGUGCCUAAUACAUGCAAGUCGAGCGAACAGACGAGGAGCUUGCUCCUCUGACGUUAGCGGCGGACGGGUGAGUAACACGUGGAUAACCUACCUAUAAGACUGGGAUAACUUCGGGAAACCGGAGCUAAUACCGGAUAAUAUAUUGAACCGCAUGGUUCAAUAGUGAAAGACGGUUUUGCUGUCACUUAUAGAUGGAUCCGCGCCGCAUUAGCUAGUUGGUAAGGUAACGGCUUACCAAGGCAACGGUGCGUAGCCGACCUGAGAGGGUGAUCGGCCACACUGGAACUGAGACACGGUCCAGACUCCUACGGGAGGCAGCAGUAGGGAAUCUUCCGCAAUGGGCGAAAGCCUAACGGAGCAACGCCGCGUGAGUGAUGAAGGUCUGCGGAUCGUAAAACUCUGUUAUUAGGGAAGAACAAAUGUGUAAGUAACUAUGCACGUCUUGACGGUACCUAAUCAGAAAGCCACGGCUAACUACGU
Molecule: ribosomal RNA, 496 nt
Filed under: uncultured bacterium
Lineage: Bacteria
Description: partial 16S ribosomal RNA
Rfam family: Bacterial small subunit ribosomal RNA
Source: RNAcentral